Molecule: small nucleolar RNA, 106 nt
Organism: Malania oleifera
Lineage: Eukaryota; Viridiplantae; Streptophyta; Magnoliopsida; Santalales; Ximeniaceae
Source: RefSeq, a predicted model, not a curated record
GCCUCAUGAUGUGGACACUUAUGAAGUAGGUCCCUGAAAUGCUCCCAACUCUCAAAGAAAAGUUCCCCAUUCAUUUGUGUGAAACUUUUGAUUUCACUUCGCAAUU